ACAAAACAGGCAAGAAGACCAAAUUCUUGCCGGAAUUCGCGGUCAAGUCUUGGGAGGAUAAGAUCUUAGGCGCGCUCGUUCGCUGCCGCCGGAAACGGAUUAAAGAUCACGCGAAACUUAGAAAACAAGGCUUUACGCCUUGUUUUUUUUU
RNAcentral lists this small RNA (151 nucleotides) under Sinorhizobium terangae. RNAcentral describes it as "Alphaproteobacterial sRNA ar9". It matches the Rfam family "Alphaproteobacterial sRNA ar9". The record is from Rfam by way of RNAcentral. Lineage: Bacteria; Pseudomonadati; Pseudomonadota; Alphaproteobacteria; Hyphomicrobiales; Rhizobiaceae.